RNA transcript from Drosophila hydei, 1602 nucleotides. It is a transcript of the gene named ketimine reductase mu-crystallin, with no coding region annotated. The record is from RefSeq and is a predicted model, not a curated record. Lineage: Eukaryota; Metazoa; Arthropoda; Insecta; Diptera; Drosophilidae. The transcript has 4 exons.
GCAUCUUCAAGAUCCGUCCGGAGCGAAGCUUCCCAAGUAGCUAAAAAUAGUAACUCGCUUGAAAAUGAACCAUCUGGUACCUGUGUUCUACAGCGCGGAGUCCGUGCGUCGCGUCCUCAACUGGCCAAUGGUAAACGAAGCUGUCGAGGCGGCGCUCACGGCGGUCGUCAUGCCGUCAGCCAAUGCCCGGGCUGACCCAGCUCAUGCGCGCUGUGACGAUCAACAUUCCAUAAGCAACCAUAUUAAGUCCUACGUAAAUCAGCCAACGCGAAGCAUCACCCUUUGCAGCAAGGAUCCGAGCAAGCUGCUACUGACCAUGCCCGCCUUUGUGGGCAACUAUCGCCUGUCGGAGGGCGGCACUGGCGGCGAUGCCACCAACGUUGGCCGCUCGACGCUGGCCUGCAAGGUGGUCACAUCAUUCCGGUCUAACCAGCAGCUGCAGCCGCCGCUGCCGAGCAUCAACGCCAACAUUUUGCUCUUCAACGUGAAGACGGGCGAGCUUGAGGCUCUGAUGGCCGGCACGGAUAUCACCACAUGGCGCACCGUGUCCGCCUCCCUAGUGGCCACCAAAUACUUAUACUUCCGCCGCUUCGGUCCGAGCGCCGAGCAUCAGAAGGACAUCAACGUGGCCAUCGUUGGCUGCGGCGUCCAGGGCCAACUACAUGCCGCCGCCAUGUGCGCCAAUUUCCGGGUGAAACAGCUAAGCCUCUACAAUCGCUCCGAACCGCGGGCCGUUCAGCUGGCCAACGAGUUGCGCCAGCGCAUGACCAACGACCGAGACAGCUGCUACGCGCCCGGCUUGCCCGACAUCAAGGUCUGCAGCUUGGCAAGCGAAGCCGUCGCACAGGCGGAUGUCAUCUGCAUUGCCACCUACGCUCAUGAGCCGAUUAUCUAUGCCAAGGAUCUGCAGGACAAGCGCGCCGUUCACAUCAACGCUGUGGGCGCUGGCGAGGUGCACUUUGGCGAGGUGGCCCCCGAUAUCUAUAAGGAGUCGCUGGUCUAUGUGGACUGCAUGGCAAAUGCCAGGAGCGAGCUGGUCGGCCUGCCCGCGCCCAUAGCCGGCGAGGUGGGCGACAUUAUACUCAAUGCUAACUAUCCGGACGCGCAGGCACUGACCAUAUUCCAGUCGAUGGGAAUGGCCGCCGAGGAUGCCUGCGUGGCUGAGGCUGUGCGGACGGCGCUUCUGUCCUGCGACAAGUAAGCGGCAUCAGCCCAAUCAGUGGAACGAUUGAUCCAUGGCCGCGACGAUGUGCCCCCCGGAUUUCCAGCAAUCUUUUAUACAUCUGCUCGACCGCUUGCCCUGCCCUCUGCCUGCUGUCUACUGCCCUAUGCCUGCGCUGCGGGCCCUUCACACCUUUUUCACACAUCAUCAUCAUCAUCAUCAUCAUCAUCAUCAUCAUCAUCAUGCAAUUUCCAUUUAUAUAUAUAUAAUUCUUGUUUUCUGUUUUAUCAUAGAUGCUGUUAGCCUGUAGAAACGUGGCCUAGAACCCAGUGGGAAGUAUUUUAUUUCUAUUAUUUUUGUUUUCUCUUGUGUUGGUUUUAAUUGGCUUUUGGGUCCCAGUCUAAGCCCUUUUUGCAAGCCGUGUGCGCCUUUCCCACUUU